This 473-nucleotide ribosomal RNA is filed under the name uncultured organism. RNAcentral describes it as "partial 16S ribosomal RNA". It matches the Rfam family "Bacterial small subunit ribosomal RNA", at positions 331 to 796 of the family's 1533-position model. The record is from RNAcentral.
GUACACUCCUACGGGAGGCAGCAGUGGGGAAUUUUGAACAAUGGGCGAAAGCCUGAUCCAGCAAUGCCGCGUGUGUGAAGAAGGCCUUCGGGUUGUAAAGCACUUUUGUCCGGAAAGAAAUCCUUGGCUCUAAUACAGUCGGGGGAUGACGGUACCGGAAGAAUAAGCACCGGCUAACUACGUGCCAGCAGCCGCGGUAAUACGUAGGGUGCGAGCGUUAAUCGGAAUUACUGGGCGUAAAGCGUGCGCAGGCGGUUUGCUAAGACCGAUGUGAAAUCCCCGGGCUCAACCUGGGAACUGCAUUGGUGACUGGCAGGCUAGAGUAUGGCAGAGGGGGGUAGAAUUCCACGUGUAGCAGUGAAAUGCGUAGAGAUGUGGAGGAAUACCGAUGGCGAAGGCAGCCCCCUGGGCCAAUACUGACGCUCAUGCACGAAAGCGUGGGGAGCAAACAGGAUUAGAAACCCUAGUAGUCC